This is a long non-coding RNA of Malurus melanocephalus (red-backed fairy wren), 707 nucleotides long. RefSeq lists it as uncharacterized. The record is from RefSeq and is a predicted model, not a curated record. NCBI's taxonomy places the organism in Eukaryota, Metazoa, Chordata, Aves, Passeriformes, Maluridae. The transcript is spliced from 3 exons.
GAGGAAAGCCAAAAAACUCCUCAUUUAUCCUCAGUGGGAAGGAAACACUGAUUGAGGCCAGCUAUUUAACUUCUUUUUGUUUCAGUCCUCAGCCAUCUGAGUGUAGGCUCAGAGCACCAACGCCAGUGACAAAUGAGUACAAGCUUUUGCUAGAAUGGGGGAACAAAAUCACACAAGGCAAGCUGUUCUAAGACAAUCUCAGAGACAUCUGCUGCUAUCUUGGAGAACCCAUGGAAGACAGACAAGUUUUAGAUGGCAAAUACAAUUCCUUUUUUUAUUGAAGGAGAUGACGAUGAGAUAUUGGAAAUUGUGGAUCAAUCAACCUAACUCACAUUUCCACAAGGAACUUUUAAGGCCUUAGUAAUCCGGUAUUCAGAAAGAGAGCUUUAAGACUGGACAUCAACACAAAUUGAUGGUGCUUCUCUGACACAGACAAUGGUUUGGAGCAUUGAGUUAUCCAUGAACUCUGAGUAUCUAGGGGUUACUUCCGAAGGCAGUCCUGCCAGACUGUGGUGUGAACAGGCACAAGCAUGAAAUUAAUUUCUUUCGCCUUUCAAUGCCUGGAAGUGAUGUUUUGACUCUAUGAAUGAACAAGAUGAUGUUUUGGGUUAAUAAAGGUAAGAAGACUCAAGGCAUGAGGUCGGUGUGUGUUUUUGCCAGCUUUGUGGAUGACUGGUGGGCAAUAGAGAGAUGCCACAAAGCAGCAC